GUGCAUUUGCUUUUCUUUUUAAACAUUAUUAUGAGAGCCACUCAGUUCUCUCUUGGCCCACUAUACUUGUGUUCGGGACUGCAGUGUUGGUGUUUCAUAGGAAGGUGCUAAACGUAGCAGUUCGCAUCAUAUGAAUGACGAAGAAAGAGAUUACGAUAGUGACGACAGCUUAAAAUCCCUUCUGGAGGGCCUCCGACUUACCGACAUUGACAGACGGCCGACUCAGAAAACACCAAAAACCAUGGACCCGCAAUACUAGGGGCCAUACAGACCGCACUGAACCCAGGAGGCCAAAUUCCAGCAAAUGCAAACCACUAUUGAUCAAUUACGAGCGGCCGUGCCCGUAACCGCUCCAGAGGUAGAGGUGUUUUAAAAAAUAUCUAUCAGGCCUGGGGUCGAGUGCGAUCAUUCACUUGACAUGGUAAAAUCCCUCCCGGACUUCUACGGGAAACAAGGGCACUAUGUCUCUUGGCGCCAAGUUGCGCUGGCGGCCUACGAAUUUUUCGAGCCUUAUGAGGGCAGCGCUAACAUUACAUGGCAACAGUUAUCAUAAGAAAUAACGUCAGAG
RNAcentral lists this long non-coding RNA (568 nucleotides) under Drosophila guanche. The record is from RNAcentral. Lineage: Eukaryota; Metazoa; Arthropoda; Insecta; Diptera; Drosophilidae.